This 324-nucleotide ribosomal RNA is filed under the name uncultured eukaryote. Its description in RNAcentral is "partial 18S ribosomal RNA". It matches the Rfam family "Eukaryotic small subunit ribosomal RNA", at positions 1470 to 1796 of the family's 1831-position model. The record is from RNAcentral.
CCCUUAGAUGUUCUGGGCCGCACGCGCGCUACACUGAUGCGUUCAACGAGUUUCUUCCUGGUCCGAGAGGAAUGGGUAACCUUUUGAAAGUGCAUCGUGAUAGGGAUAGACUAUUGCAAUUAUUGGUCUUCAACGAGGAAUUCCUAGUAGACGUAGUUCAUCAGACUGCAUCGAUUACGUCCCUGCCCUUUGUACACACCGCCCGUCGCUCCUACCGAUUGAAUGCUCAGGUGAGCCAUUCGGACUUUCAUCAUGCUGGUUUCCAGUUUUGAUGAAGGAAAGUCUUGCGAACCUUAUCAUUUAGAGGAAGGAGAAGUCGUAACA